RNAcentral lists this ribosomal RNA (366 nucleotides) under uncultured bacterium. RNAcentral describes it as "partial 16S ribosomal RNA". It matches the Rfam family "Bacterial small subunit ribosomal RNA", at positions 338 to 721 of the family's 1533-position model. The record is from RNAcentral.
CCUACGGGUGGCAGCAGUGGGGGAUAUUGCACAAUGGGGGGAACCCUGAUGCAGCGACGCCGCGUGGGGGAAGAAGCGCCUCGGCGCGUAAAGCUCUGUCAGCAGGGAAGAAAAUGACGGUACCUGAAGAAGAAGCCCCGGCUAACUACGUGCCAGCAGCCGCGGUAAUACGUAGGGGGCAAGCGUUAUCCGGAUUUACUGGGUGUAAAGGGGGCGCAGACGGGGAUGCCAGCCAGGAGUGAAAGCCCGGGGCCCAACCCCGGGACUGCUCGUGGAACUGCGUGGCUGGAGUGCAGGAGGGGCAGGCGGAAUUCCUGGUGUAGCGGUGAAAUGCGUAGAUAUCAGGAGGAACACCGGUGGCGAAGG